This 253-nucleotide ribosomal RNA is filed under the name uncultured bacterium. RNAcentral's name for it is "partial 16S ribosomal RNA". It matches the Rfam family "Bacterial small subunit ribosomal RNA", at positions 524 to 776 of the family's 1533-position model. The record is from RNAcentral.
UACGUAGGGGGCAAGCGUUAUCCGGAAUUACUGGGUGUAAAGGGUGAGUAGGCGGCAUGGUAAGCCAGAUGUGAAAGCCUUGGGCUUAACCCGAGGAUUGCAUUUGGAACUAUCAAGCUAGAGUACAGGAGAGGAAAGCGGAAUUCCUAGUGUAGCGGUGAAAUGCGUAGAUAUUAGGAAGAACACCAGUGGCGAAGGCGGCUUUCUGGACUGAAACUGACGCUGAGGCACGAAAGCGUGGGGAGCGAGCAGG